GAUGAACGCUGGCGGCGUGCCUAAUACAUGCAAGUCGAGCGAACAGACGAGGAUCUUGCUCCUCUGGCGUUAGCAGCGCACAGGUACGUAACACGUGGAUAACCUACAUAUAAGACUGGGACAACUUCUGGAACCCGGAGCUAAUACCGGAUAAUAUAUUGAACCGCAUGGUGCACUAGUGAAAGACUGUCUUGCUGUCACUUAUAUAUGGUACCGAGCCGCAUUAGCUAGUUGGUAAGGUAACGGCUUCCCAAGGCAACGAGGCGUAGCCGACCUGGGAGAGGGAUCGGCCACACUGGAACGGGGACACGGUCCAGACUCCUACGGGAGGCAGCAGUAGGGAAUCUUCCGCAAUGGGCGAAAGCUUGACGGAGCAACGCCGCGUGAGUGAUGAAGGUCUUCGGAUCGUAAAACUCUGUUAUUAGGGAAGAACAAAUGUGUAAGUAACUAUGCACGUCUUGACGGUACCUAAUCAGAAAGCCACGGCUAACUACGUG
This 497-nucleotide ribosomal RNA is filed under the name uncultured bacterium. RNAcentral describes it as "partial 16S ribosomal RNA". It matches the Rfam family "Bacterial small subunit ribosomal RNA", at positions 28 to 507 of the family's 1533-position model. The record is from RNAcentral.